Molecule: non-coding RNA, 93 nt
Organism: Zea mays
Lineage: Eukaryota; Viridiplantae; Streptophyta; Magnoliopsida; Poales; Poaceae
Source: Rfam
GUGCAUGCGGGAUCAAAAGGUCCCUGUCAUGUACCCUAUUCACUUUGUCAGUUGACAUUUUGUUUUCAGCUGAUCAUGAAAGGUGGAAAAUUA